GGUACCGACGGUGCGGCGGCGGUGGUAAUUGGUGGGGUGGUCGGGUUGGUCUGAAUUAUUGGGCUUAUAGAGCUUUUAGGCGGGUUGUCGCGUCUGCAGUGAAAAUCCGGGGCUCAACCCCGGACGUGCUGUGGGGACGGGCAGACUAGAGUAUGGUAGGGGAGACCGGAAUUCCUGGUGUAGCGGUGGAAUGCGCAGAUAUCAGGAGGAACACCGAGGGCGAAGGCAGCGGUCUGGGGCCACACUGACGCUGAGGCACGAAAGCGUGGGGAGCAAACAGGAUUAGAUACCCCGGUAGUC
RNAcentral lists this ribosomal RNA (300 nucleotides) under uncultured Archaeoglobus sp. RNAcentral describes it as "bacterial SSU rRNA". It matches the Rfam family "Bacterial small subunit ribosomal RNA", at positions 496 to 795 of the family's 1533-position model. The record is from RNAcentral. Lineage: Archaea; Methanobacteriati; Methanobacteriota; Archaeoglobi; Archaeoglobales; Archaeoglobaceae.